AAGUGGUCAUCAGCAAGUGUGGAGCCACAACAAGAUUCUCAGAGGGCGGAGCCAGAGACCAUAUGGUCAGACCAUAGAUAAUAUAGAAGACAGCACGCUACCGUAUCUACUCUAUGUGUAUCUAUGGUCGGCACGUCUGGUAGCAUCUUUGGCUGCUGUUGAUCUUGUUUUUGGAGUAAAACACGAUGCACAAUGAGGGACGUCUGCAGAGACUGAGAAAGAGUCUCACCACAUCCUGACAUGAGGAAAAAGACUUUAUUGAAGACUACAAUGAGAAAAACUAUCAGACAGCAGACGGCUGCAUUCAAGUCUGUAGCUGCUGAAUUCAUGGAUGAAUCAUCUGGCACUAGAGAAGAAGACCAUCAAACAUCUACGUCAGCUGAUGGAGGUCCAAGAGUCUCACCAAACAACCAACCUACAGAGUGAAGACCUCUAACCUGAUUGGACGGCCUCCUAUUCAGCCACAUGUGUGAACAAAUGCCUCUAAGCUGAUUUGUUUUCUAAAAUAAAUCUAGUUUGAGUCCUAAUCUAUGCCUGUGUUUGCUUCUUUACACCGCUGUUAACAGUUUAGGCUGUUAGAUUGUUCCAGAUAAGACAAGUACAAGAUUCUUCAGAGCC
Molecule: long non-coding RNA, 618 nt
Organism: Amphiprion ocellaris (clown anemonefish)
Lineage: Eukaryota; Metazoa; Chordata; Actinopteri; Pomacentridae
Source: Ensembl